Molecule: long non-coding RNA, 1988 nt
Filed under: Numida meleagris (helmeted guineafowl)
Lineage: Eukaryota; Metazoa; Chordata; Aves; Galliformes; Numididae
Description: lncRNA (ENSNMEG00000015885.1)
Source: RNAcentral
GGAUUUCCUACCAGAAGACCUUCCCAACUAGUUCUGCCUUAAAUUCUCUACCUUGAAGUCUCCUGGUGUGCUUUUUUUCCUCAGGAAGGUAACAGAAGCUGUAUCAAACGCAAACUGAGCGGCGUGGAUUUGCUGGUUAGGCACAGAUGGGGUUCCUCUCUCAAAGUACUUGUGUUGUCUCCGUUCAUUACACUUGCUACAAAAGCUAUUGACACGGCAGCAUUCUCCUGUUAGUUUUUCUACUCCUUUAGAAGUAAGCGCUUGUCAGGUUGCCAUGACCUGAUAGCGCAGUGACUAGGAUCUUGGUUAGAGAUUUGGACCUUCACAGUCACUGGAGGGGAGUCUUCAAAGUCUCAUGCAGUUGUCAUGGUCAAUUCAUGGUGACUUGUGUCUGCAGGUUAAGACAUUCUUCUGAAUUGUUUUUGAUUUUAUGCAUUUUUAUUAUGGUAUUAUGUAGAGUGAGAAAAACAUAAAUCUUUUUGUUUGAACGCUGGUUUGAUGUCCAGUUCAAAUUAGCAGGAUGCAAGGAGGUUGGAUUCUUGUUUGGAAGCCGUUUAUGAAAUGUUAGAUUUCCUUCUAUGGAAGGAAAUUCUGGAGAAGACUUCCAAUCUUGUGAUUCAAAGCAUGAAUCAGCCCCUAGGUUGGAGCUGUGCCUGCAGCAGCAGAAGGGGCUGACUGUCACAGGGUUGCUGCUUUGUUGCUCUUCUCCAGAGCACCCUGUAUAGCUGCUAUCAAAGGCAGAACAGCAGCAUCAAUGGAAUCAGGUCUGCUCAAUGCAAGCUCUGAUUUUCAGCAGCAUGUCAUCUUUAAUAUAUCUAUUUUUCUUUUCUCUUUCUCUAGAAGUUUUGUGUUCCAGCUGACUUCCUCCAAGAGAGCUGCCAGCAUGCUUUUUCAUCAGAACUAUGUGAAACACCUGAGUUCAUCGGGACUGAAGGAAAACAGUCUCAGAGACAAAGGACCUAGGAAUCUUUUCCUGCAAUUAACAUGAAUUCAUGAGGUGUGUGUUUUAAGAGCUACAUCUAGUCCUGUGAAAGCAGAGGUAUGAACCAGCAGUUGCAAUGCUAAUUACUGCCCAGUGAUUUGAGGGGACCUGCACAAUGUGCUAACAUGCCUAUGAUGACAUGCAGCAUGAUACAUGGGGAAAGGUGAAGGCAAGGCUCAUAUAUCCCCAUAACGCUGAAAGCAUAUUUCCCUCUCUAAUAACUUACAAACAGUCACCAUUUGCUGUCUGCAAAAUUAACCUCUCAUCUCCUCCAGCCUGCUGAUCUGGUGCAUAGAUAUAGGAUUUUAAGCUUCUCUAUUGAAAAAUGUCCCUGCAAAGCUGUCCAUCAGAACUCCCACUGCUUUCCAGAGAGUGUUAUUAAUAAGUUCUUCCUAUCAGAAAUGGGACCCUUUUAGAGCUCAGACAAGGUUUUUUUCCUGUUAACCAGCUGGGCUGCUUGGCUGUGGACAAAUGCCAUGAUGAAUGACGGGUCAAGGAUGGAGCAGGCUGAUUUCUCUCCAAGCCUGACCUUGUCUCUGGUGUGACAUCUGAAAUGACAGGUGCAUUAAAAAGUUAUUUAUGUAGGGGAGCUGCGAUGCAUUGUACCCUUUGCAAGGUAGCACCCAGUUUUGCAAGAGUGUUAGAAAAAAGGCUGCCCCUGUGUCUGCUGCCUCUUGCACUGCCAGCUUUCUGUAAGCAGCUGCUAUGAAAGCAGGAGGAGAAGUGUUGCACAUUUUUUAGCGCACAGAAGAUGCUCUGGGAAAUGAAAGGCAAAAUAGGGAGCAGGGUCCGAGAGCAGCAGCAGACGGCUUCCCAGCAAAUCACCUGUGUGUGUGCAGAUUGCCUGCCUGGAACAGCAGUAACCAGCUCUGGAAAUGCACCUGAAGGGUUCUGGGCUGUUGAAGGCCCAAUGUUGUGGAUAAAAUGCAGCACUGAAGAUUAAAUGACUUCUGCUGUUCAGCUCCUUAUGGCCUCAGUGCUCUUGUGAGACUUUCUCUUUUGACUC